This 323-nucleotide ribosomal RNA is filed under the name uncultured eukaryote. RNAcentral's name for it is "partial 18S ribosomal RNA". It matches the Rfam family "Eukaryotic small subunit ribosomal RNA", at positions 1470 to 1796 of the family's 1831-position model. The record is from RNAcentral.
CCCUUAGAUGAUUUGGGCUGCACGCGCGCUACACUGACCCUAACAAUGAGCAACUGUCUGGCCUGAGAUGGCUGGGUAGCCUUUUCAACCCAUGUCAUGAUUGGGCUAGAUUUUUGUAAGUCUUGAUCUCUAACGAGGAAUCCCUAGUAUGCGUGAAUCAUCAAUCCAUGCAGAUUAUGUCCCUGCCCUUUGUACACACCGCCCGUCGCUCCUACCGAGGGGGUGAUCCGGUGAAUGAUUCGGACUCUGGUGCUUCUAGCUGCUAGAUGCGCCGGAGGAAGUUUUGUGAACCUUAUCACUUGGAGGAAGGAGAAGUCGUAACA